Molecule: ribosomal RNA, 467 nt
Filed under: uncultured bacterium
Lineage: Bacteria
Description: partial 16S ribosomal RNA
Rfam family: Bacterial small subunit ribosomal RNA
Source: RNAcentral
GACGAACGCUGGCGGCGUGCUUAACACAUGCAAGUCGAACGGAAAGGCCCUGCUUUUGUGGGGUGCUCGAGUGGCGAACGGGUGAGUAACACGUGAGUAACCUGCCCUUGACUGUGGGAUAACUUCAGGAAACUGGGGCUAAUACCGGAUAGGAGCUCCUGCUGCAUGGUGGGGGUUGGAAAGUUUCGGCGGUUGGGGAUGGACUCGCGGCUGAUCAGCUUGUUGGUGGGGUAGUGGCUUACCAAGGCUUUGACGGGUAGCCGGCCUGAGAGGGUGACCGGCCACAUUGGGCCUGAGAUACGGCCCAGGCUCCUACGUGAGGCAACAGUGGGGAAUUUUGCACAAUGGGCGGAGGCCUGAUGCAGCAACGCCGCGUGCGGGAUGACGUCCUUCGGGUUGUAAACCGCUUUCGCCUGUGACGAAGCGUGAGUGCCUGUAAUGGGGAAAGAAGCACCGGCUAACUACGU